CCCGCGCGCGCACACUCUGCCCCCCGCUGCCCGACCCACGGGGGCGGUGCGCGAACCCCGCGGAUCGAGGAGCCCCGCCUCCGGGCGGGCCGAGCCAAGGGGAGCGCACCCCGACUUCCCUGGAUCACAUGGGCUGCGGGGGGCGGGUGGAUCGGGGGAGGGGGAGGCGCGGGGAGCUCGCCGCGGCUCCUCACUGUGGCAGGGGAGAAGAUGCCCCCCACCCCUCUAGUUCGGCCUCUCCAUUCAAGUUCCCCGGACCCGGCCGCCUGGAUCCCGGGAUGGCAACAGCCGCCUGCCCGGCUCUGCGCCCUUUUUCCAGCCACCGCGCAGAAAUUUAGGUCAAGGACGUCGGGAUCAAAUCCAAACCCUGGCGCUCCUCGGGCAGCCGCCGAGACCCCCCAGGAUCGUGGGGCUUCAGGAUUGCGGAGGCUCUCCCGCACAAACACCAGCCACAAGUUUUAUUUUCCUUUCGCGCUGGAAGUUAUCUCUGGCUCUCGCUCCGCACCGGCACGUCUUGCGCGGCUCCCCGCCCUUCCCCGGCAGAGGGGAAGCCGGCUUUCAUGCCGUCAAGGUGCACAAGUAGCCUGCUAGAGAGGCCCACGUGGAGAAGAAUUGCAGUUUCCUGUCAGUAAUCUGCCCGGAUUGUGAGACAUCUUAACGGUGCAUCUGCCAGCCCCAGCCAUGCCUUCAGACGACAGCUACCCCAGCUCACAUCUCAACAACUUCCCGAGAGACCUGGAGCCAGAACCUCCCAGCUAAGCCGCUCCCAAUUCCUGACCCUCAGAUACUGGAUCUAUAAGGAUAUAAAAUCCAUGAGAUGGGCUUCCCUGGUGGCUCAGUGGUUGAGAGUCCGCCUGCCGAUGCAGGGGAUGCGGGUUCGUGCCCCGGUGCGGGAGGAUCCCACAUGACGCGGAGCAGCUGGGCCCGUGAGCCAUGGCGGCUGAGCCUGCGCGUCCGGAGCCUGCGCUCCGCAACGGGAGAGGCCACAACAGUGAGAGGCCC
Long non-coding RNA from Physeter macrocephalus (sperm whale), 1002 nucleotides. RefSeq lists it as uncharacterized. The transcript has 3 exons. The record is from RefSeq and is a predicted model, not a curated record. NCBI's taxonomy places the organism in Eukaryota, Metazoa, Chordata, Mammalia, Artiodactyla, Physeteridae.